UACAUAGGUCCCGAGCGUUGUCCGGAUUUAUUGGGCGUAAAGCGAGCGCAGGUGGUUUAUUAAGUCUGGCGUAAAAGGCAGUGGCUCAACCAUUGUAUGCAUUGGAAACUGGUAGACUUGAGUGCAGGAGAGGAGAGUGGAAUUCCAUGUGUAGCGGUGAAGUGCGUAGAUAUAUGGAAGAACACCGGUGGCGAAAGCGGCUCUCUGGCCUGUAACUGACACUGAGGCUCGAAAGCGUGGGGAGCAAACAGG
This 252-nucleotide ribosomal RNA is filed under the name uncultured bacterium. RNAcentral describes it as "partial 16S ribosomal RNA". It matches the Rfam family "Bacterial small subunit ribosomal RNA", at positions 524 to 776 of the family's 1533-position model. The record is from RNAcentral.